GUGGGGAAUAUUGCACAAUGGGGGAAACCCUGAUGCAGCGACGCCGCGUGAGUGAAGAAGUAUUUCGGUAUGUAAAGCUCUAUCAGCAGGGAAGAAAAAAGACGGUACCUGACUAAGAAGCCCCGGCUAACUACGUGCCAGCAGCCGCGGUAAUACGUAGGGGGCAAGCGUUAUCCGGAUUUACUGGGUGUAAAGGGAGCGUAGACGGCGCGGCAAGUCUGAAGUGAAAGGCAGGGGCUUAACCCCUGAACUGCUUUGGAAACUGCCAUGCUAGAGUGCUGGAGAGGUAAGUGGAAUUCCUAGUGUAGCGGUGAAAUGCGUAGAUAUUAGGAGGAACACCAGUGGCGAAGGCGGCUUACUGGACAGUAACUGACGUUGAGGCUCGAAAGCGUGGGGAGCAAACAGG
Molecule: ribosomal RNA, 406 nt
Filed under: bacterium
Lineage: Bacteria
Also listed under: 1 other name
Description: bacterial SSU rRNA
Rfam family: Bacterial small subunit ribosomal RNA
Source: RNAcentral